Molecule: ribosomal RNA, 253 nt
Filed under: uncultured bacterium
Lineage: Bacteria
Description: partial 16S ribosomal RNA
Rfam family: Bacterial small subunit ribosomal RNA
Source: RNAcentral
UACGGAGGGAGCUAGCGUUGUUCGGAAUUACUGGGCGUAAAGCGCGCGUAGGCGGUUUAUCAAGUCAGAGGUGAAAUCCCGGGGCUCAACCUUGGAACUGCCUUUGAAACUGCGGGUCUUGAGUUCGAGAGAGGUGAGUGGAAUUCCGAGUGUAGAGGUGAAAUUCGUAGAUAUUCGGAGGAACACCAGUGGCGAAGGCGGCUCACUGGCUCGAUACUGACGCUGAGGUGCGGAAGCGUGGGGAGCAAACAGG